UACGGGGGGGGCAAGCGUUGUUCGGAAUUACUGGGCGUAAAGGGCUCGUAGGCGGCCAACUAAGUCAGACGUGAAAUCCCUCGGCUUAACCGGGGAACUGCGUCUGAUACUGGAUGGCUUGAGUGUGGGAGAGGAAUGCGGAAUUCCAGGUGUAGCGGUGAAAUGCGUAGAUAUCUGGAGGAACACCGGUGGCGAAGGCGGCAUUCUGGACCAUUGCUGACGCUGAGGAGCGAAAGCCAGGGGAGCAAACGGG
Molecule: ribosomal RNA, 253 nt
Filed under: uncultured bacterium
Lineage: Bacteria
Description: partial 16S ribosomal RNA
Rfam family: Bacterial small subunit ribosomal RNA
Source: RNAcentral